This 315-nucleotide ribosomal RNA is filed under the name uncultured bacterium. Its description in RNAcentral is "bacterial SSU rRNA". It matches the Rfam family "Bacterial small subunit ribosomal RNA", at positions 29 to 375 of the family's 1533-position model. The record is from RNAcentral.
AGCGAACGCUGGCGGCAGGCCUAAUACAUGCAAGUCGAGCGGGUCCUUCGGGAUUAGCGGCGGACGGGUGAGUAACGCGUGGAACGUGCCCUUUGGUACGGAACAACUGAGGGAAACUUCAGCUAAUACCGUAUGUGCCCUUCGGGGAAAGAUUAUCGCCAUUGGAGCGGCCCGCGUUGGAUUAGGUAGUUGGUGAGGUAAAGGCUCACCAAGCCUACGAUCCAUAGCUGGUCUGAGAGGAUGACCAGCCACACUGGGACUGAGACACGGCCCAGACUCCUACGGAGGCAGCAGUAGGGAAUCUUGCGCAAUGGC